GACGAACGCUGGCGGCGUGCUUAACACAUGCAAGUCGAACGGAAAGGCCCUGCUUGCAGGGUACUCGAGUGGCGAACGGGUGAGUAACACGUGGGUGAUCUGCCCUGCACUUCGGGAUAAGCUUGGGAAACUGGGUCUAAUACCGGAUAGGAGCCAUCUUUAGUGUGGUGGUUGGAAAGUUUUUUCGGUGUAGGAUGAGCUCGCGGCCUAUCAGCUUGUUGGUGGGGUAAUGGCCUACCAAGGCGGCGACGGGUAGCCGGCCUGAGAGGGUGUACGGCCACAUUGGGACUGGGAUACGGCCCAGACUCCUACGGGAGGCAGCAGUGGGGAAUAUUGCACAAUGGGCGCAAGCCUGAUGCAGCGACGCCGCGUGGGGGAUGAAGGCCUUCGGGUUGUAAACUCCUUUCGCUAGGGACGAAGCUUUUUGUGACGGUACCUAGAUAAGAAGCACCGGCUAACUACGUG
RNAcentral lists this ribosomal RNA (465 nucleotides) under uncultured bacterium. RNAcentral's name for it is "partial 16S ribosomal RNA". It matches the Rfam family "Bacterial small subunit ribosomal RNA", at positions 28 to 507 of the family's 1533-position model. The record is from RNAcentral.